CAGCCGCCGCGGUAAUACGUAGGGGGCGAGCGUUGUCCGGAAUUACUGGGCGUAAAGGGCGUGUAGGCGGCCUGUUAAGUCAGGGGUGAAAGACCGGGGCUCAACCCCAGGGGUGCCUCUGAAACUGGCGGGCUUGAGUGCUCUAGAGGGCAGUGGAAUUCCCGGUGUAGCAGUGAAAUGCGUAGAGAUCGGGAGGAACACCAGUGGCGAAGGCGGCUGCCUGGGGAGUCACUGACGCUGAGGCGCGAAAGCUAGGGGAGCAAACAGGAUUAGAUACCCUGGUAGUCCUAGCCGUAAACGAUGAGCGCUAUGUGUGAGGGGUAUCGACCCCCCUCGUGCAGUAGCUAACGCAUUAAGCGCUCCGCCUGGGGAGUACGGCCGCAAGGUUGAAACUUAAAGGAAUUGGCGGG
Molecule: ribosomal RNA, 410 nt
Filed under: uncultured microorganism
Description: bacterial SSU rRNA
Rfam family: Bacterial small subunit ribosomal RNA
Source: RNAcentral